AUGCUUAACACAUGCAAGUCGAACGGUAACAGAUAAGAUGAUCUCUUCGGAGUGAAUCUUUGCUGACGAGUGGCGGACGGGUGAGUAAUGCUUGGGAAUCUGCCCAAUAGUGGGGGAAAACUCGGGGAAACCCGGGCUAAUACCGCAUAAUCUCUACGGAGGAAAGAGGGCCUCUACAUGUAAGCUCUCGCUAAUGGAUGAGCCCAAGUCAGAUUAGCUUGUUGGUAAGGUAAUGGCCCACCAAGCCUAUGACGGGUAGCUGGUCUGAGAGGACGAUCAGCCAGAGGGGGACUGAGACACGGCCCCCACUCCUACGGGAGGCAGCAGCAGGGAAUCUUGCGCAAUGGGCGAAAGCCUGACGCAGCGACGCCGCGUGGGGGAAGAAGGCCUUCGGGUUGUAAACUCCUUUUCUGGGGGAAGAGAACGGACGGUACCUCAGGAAUAAGCCCCGGCUAACUACGUGCCAGCAGCCGCGGUAACACGUAGGGGGCGAGCGUUGUCCGGAUUUACUGGGCGUAAAGGGCAUGUAGGCGGUUAGGGAAGUCCUUGGUGAAAUCUCCCAGCUCAACUGGGAGAGGUAUGAGGAUACUCCCUGACUUGAGGGCAGUAGAGGAGAGCGGAAUUCCCGGUGGAGUGGUGAAAUGCGUAGAUAUCGGAAGGAACACCAGUGG
Molecule: ribosomal RNA, 671 nt
Filed under: uncultured bacterium
Lineage: Bacteria
Description: bacterial SSU rRNA
Rfam family: Bacterial small subunit ribosomal RNA
Source: RNAcentral